AUUGAACGCUGGCGGCAGGCCUAACACAUGCAAGUCGAGCGGAUGAAGGGAGCUUGCUCCUGGAUUCAGCGGCGGACGGGUGAGUAAUGCCUAGGAAUCUGCCUGGUAGUGGGGGAUAACGUCCGGAAACGGGCGCUAAUACCGCAUACGUCCUGAGGGAGCAAGUGGGGGAUCUUCGGACCUCACGCUAUCAGAUGAGCCUAGGUCGGAUUAGCUAGUUGGUGGGGUAAAGGCCUACCAAGGCGACGAUCCGUAACUGGUCUGCGAGGAUGAUCAGUCACACUAGAACUGAGACACGGUCCAGACUCCUACGGGAGGCAGCAGUGGGGAAUAUUGGACAAUGGGCGAAAGCCUGAUCCAGCCAUGCCGCGUGUGUGAAGAAGGUCUUCGGAUUGUAAAGCACUUUAAGUUGGGAGGAAGGGCAGUAAGUUAAUACCUUGCUGUUUUGACGUUACCAACAGAAUAAGCACCGGCUAACUUCGUG
This 484-nucleotide ribosomal RNA is filed under the name uncultured bacterium. RNAcentral describes it as "partial 16S ribosomal RNA". It matches the Rfam family "Bacterial small subunit ribosomal RNA", at positions 30 to 507 of the family's 1533-position model. The record is from RNAcentral.